RNAcentral lists this ribosomal RNA (882 nucleotides) under Salmonella enterica subsp. indica serovar 41:b:1,7. Its description in RNAcentral is "partial 23S ribosomal RNA". It matches the Rfam family "Bacterial large subunit ribosomal RNA", at positions 1919 to 2800 of the family's 2925-position model. Lineage: Bacteria; Pseudomonadati; Pseudomonadota; Gammaproteobacteria; Enterobacterales; Enterobacteriaceae. The record is from RNAcentral.
CCCGGUAAACGGCGGCCGUAACUAUAACGGUCCUAAGGUAGCGAAAUUCCUUGUCGGGUAAGUUCCGACCUGCACGAAUGGCGUAAUGAUGGCCAGGCUGUCUCCACCCGAGACUCAGUGAAAUUGAACUCGCUGUGAAGAUGCAGUGUACCCGCGGCAAGACGGAAAGACCCCGUGAACCUUUACUAUAGCUUGACACUGAACAUUGAGCCUUGAUGUGUAGGAUAGGUGGGAGGCUUUGAAGCGUGGACGCCAGUCUGCGUGGAGCCAACCUUGAAAUACCACCCUUUAAUGUUUGAUGUUCUAACGUGGACCCGUUACCCGGGUUGCGGACAGUGUCUGGUGGGUAGUUUGACUGGGGCGGUCUCCUCCCAAAGAGUAACGGAGGAGCACGAAGGUUGGCUAAUCCUGGUCGGACAUCAGGAGGUUAGUGCAAUGGCAUAAGCCAGCUUGACUGCGAGCGUGACGGCGCGAGCAGGUGCGAAAGCAGGUCAUAGUGAUCCGGUGGUUCUGAAUGGAAGGGCCAUCGCUCAACGGAUAAAAGGUACUCCGGGGAUAACAGGCUGAUACCGCCCAAGAGUUCAUAUCGACGGCGGUGUUUGGCACCUCGAUGUCGGCUCAUCACAUCCUGGGGCUGAAGUAGGUCCCAAGGGUAUGGCUGUUCGCCAUUUAAAGUGGUACGCGAGCUGGGUUUAGAACGUCGUGAGACAGUUCGGUCCCUAUCUGCCGUGGGCGCUGGAGAACUGAGGGGGGCUGCUCCUAGUACGAGAGGACCGGAGUGGACGCAUCACUGGUGUUCGGGUUGUCAUGCCAAUGGCACUGCCCGGUAGCUAAAUGCGGAAGAGAUAAGUGCUGAAAGCAUCUAAGCACGAAACUUGCCCC